This 394-nucleotide ribosomal RNA is filed under the name uncultured bacterium. RNAcentral describes it as "bacterial SSU rRNA". It matches the Rfam family "Bacterial small subunit ribosomal RNA", at positions 505 to 898 of the family's 1533-position model. The record is from RNAcentral.
GUGCCAGCAGCCGCGGUAAGACAGAGGGGGCAAGCGUUGCUCGGAAUCACUGGGCGUAAAGGGCGCGUAGGCGGGACGGCAAGUCAGUCGUGAAAUCCUCCGGCUCAACCGGAGAACGUCGGCUGAUACUGCUGUUCUUGAGGGGUGCAGAGGAGACUGGAAUUCCCGGUGUAGCGGUGAAAUGUGUAGAGAUCGGGAGGAACACCGGUGGCGAAGGCGGGUCUCUGGGCAUCUCCUGACGCUGAGGCGCGAAAGCGUGGGGAGCAAACGGGAUUAGAUACCCCGGUAGUCCACGCUGUAAACGAUGAGGACUAGGUGUGGGAAGGUUAGUCCUUUCCGUGCCGCAGCUAACGCAUUAAGUCCUCCGCCUGGGGAGUACGGCCGCAAGGUUGAA